GAUGAACGCUGGCGGCGUGCCUAAUACAUGCAAGUCGAGCGAACAGACGAGGAGCUUGCUCCUCUGACGUUAGCGGCGGACGGGUGAGUAACACGUGGAUAACCUACCUAUAAGACUUGGAUAACUUCGGGAAACCGGAUCUAAUACCGUAUAAUAUAUUGAACCGUAUGGUUCAAUAAUGAAAGACGGUUUUGCUGUCACUUAUAGAUGGAUCCGCGCCUCAUUAGCUAGUUGGUAAGGUAACGGCUUACAAAGGCAACGAUGCGUAGCCGACUUGGGGGGGGGAUCGGCAACCUGGGACUUAGGCAACGCUCAGACUUCCUCCGGGAGGAGCAGGAAGGGAUCCUCCGGCAAGGGCGGAAGGCCUAACGGGCAAACGCCGCGGGAUGGAGAAGGGUUUCCGAUUCGAAAAACCUUUUGUAAGGGAAGAACGAAUGUUGUAGUUAAAAAUGCACGUUUUGACGGUACCUAAUCAGAAAGCCACGGCUAACUACGUG
Molecule: ribosomal RNA, 497 nt
Filed under: uncultured bacterium
Lineage: Bacteria
Description: partial 16S ribosomal RNA
Rfam family: Bacterial small subunit ribosomal RNA
Source: RNAcentral